ACAACUUAGGAACGAAGAAAAUUUCUCCUUUUUCCAAUAGGACUUGUCAUGAAAAUUAAAAGGAAAUAUUGCGAACAAUGAGGCCACGGUGCAGUUCUCUCCAACACACAAGAAAAUCAGAUUACAAUAUCUUUUGACUCCAGGUUACAAUAUUAACUGAGGCAUUGAGAGUUAUGUUGAUUUUAUAUUUUCACAGGAAAGAGUUUUUUUCUACUCACUCAUGAACCUUAAACCUGUGCUUACUGUGCAUGGAUAUUUUAAGUUAAAACGUUCCACUUUCACAUCAAUGGUGGCUACAGUUUUUACAUAUCUGGUGGUCUUGAUACAAAUUAAGCGUCGAAUUGGCCCAGAACAGUUGGUGCAAGAGAACAACGACAAGUUUGCCAUUAUGUUGCAAGGUUGAGAGCUAUAUAAUUUUAUUUUUAAACAUGGAACUCAUACUUUUUUAUAUAGGAGGAACAUCAUUGAUGGUCUGUGAUGUCUCAUUGCACUUAACUGCGGAAACGUCUUUGUGAGUCUCAUACAAGCACCCACUUAAACCCCUGCCAAACUUCUACUAUGCAAGAUACUUAUCAAAUCUUGUAAAGGUAAAAAUAUUUAAAAAUGGUAUAAAUGAAUAAAAAUAUUUAUGAGAACCCAGUUUUUGAAAGGAGGGGGGGAGGGAAGAAACAAAACGGAAUGAUAUUAAAAUCUUUUUAACCGUUUUAUUAAAGCGAGAGACGUUAUUCAUUACAAAUCACAAAAGUAAAUCACCUAAAAAUUAUUUUUACCACUUCACAAAUAUAUUUUCAUUGGUUGUUAUUACUUCUGCUAGCUUUUAGUUCUAUUAAAACAAUCAUGGAAUGUUAUUUGGAUUUAAAAAAACAAGAGAUGGGGGUACAUAAGGGUACAAGGCUUACAUAUCAUCAUAGGAGGAGAGGAUCUUGCAAAAACUAAAAUGAACGGAGUAAUACUUUAGGUAAGAGAGUAACUGAGAACAUGAACUGUACACGAAUAGUGCAAGUUGUCAACACACUGAAAAGAAAAAAAAGCGAUAAAAAUAGAUGAUGAUCUAAGUAUUCUGAUCAAGAAAAAAUGCAAAAAUCUUUGACUUGCUGAAAAGACCACUUCACGACUAAUUUUACUUUAGUAGAAUGUAAAAUUAGCAGCAUGCAGUUAAAACAGCAAAAUAGGAUUUGUACACACUUUUUCGACAAUCUUCUUAUCCAAUGUACACCAUUGUCUUGGAUCUUCUAAAACAAGCGGAAUUUCAUUCCAGUCACGUAAAAUAAUGAAAGAAUAAAGACAUCAAUGUAAACUGUACUAAAUUACAAUAAAUAGUCAUAUGGAAGUGAGUACAUUGCCUCAAUGACUAAAAGCCAAGCAUGAAUCCUAUCUGGAAAAAAGCUAAGACAAGUGAAGUGCAAACAAUUCAUUCAAUGCUACAGCAAAAAAGGAAAAUUAAUUUGUACUGCAACCCCAAUCACCGAUUAGCAAAAGAUACUAAUUGCUUUAGUAGCUGGUUGGAUUUUCAAAAAGGACAAGAAACUAAUUUUGGAAACCGGUAAAUAACCAGUAAUUCAGCUGCACGAUUUAUCUCCAAAGUAACACGAGCAUAUUUCAUACAUGAUGCAUGUAUUUUCGAUUGCAGAUUUGAAGAGGGAGGCCUUUCAGCUUUGUCUGGACUUACAAAAUUGGUCAGGAGGCUGCACUAUUAGAUUUAAUGUAACAUACAGAAUUAAGGUUAGUUAAUUUUGCACGUUAGAGUUAAAAUAACGCAAAAUUAUUGAGUCUACAUACUAGCACUCCGUCGGGAUGAGACAUUUUUUAUUGAAUUUGGCAUUAUUCAAGUGGAUAUGAUUGUAAGACCCAAAUUUUAGCUUCAGAAUGAAUUUGUAUUGCUAAUUUUUUUUUACAUGUUCUACUGAUGUUCAGAAAGUAAAAGAAAUCAAAUUCCAUGCAAUAUGUUCGUGUUGGAAUUGAGUUUUUCCUUGAAGUGCAUGAUUCAGAUUUUGAAAAUUUCAAGGCAAAAUGAUACUUAUGUUUGCUACAUGUAAGUAAUUUUGAUCAUUUUCAGAGAGAAACAUUGAUACAAUGGAUGAAGAAUGAAGUAAAAUAAUAAAAAAUCAAAAUGCACAGAAGCAUGGAUCUGCAUCAAAAUAAAAAUCUGAUAUGCAUAAAAUAUGUUUAACAAUUAACUUGACUUUCAACAACUUUACGAUUAAUUAAGGGUUUACUUGGACAACAAGUUUUCAGAAUAUAUACAAUAAAAUACUACUGGUGUUGAGUACCAGAAUUGGUUUGUAGUUGAUUUUAAGCAGAAUAGAUUAAUGUAGACUUCUUCGCGAUGAAAGAGAAGCAGAUGUAAAAUUGUGGAUCACUAAAAAGUAGAAAAAGUUUGCUCAAGUAAAAUUGAAGCUGAAAUAAAUACCCUUUAAGCACUAAAAAGAGAAAAUGAUGAUACAAUUCACACCCAUUUAUGAGAUGAUGCCAGUUUACAAGGCUUCUAAAUUAACAUGCCUUUUUAUAAUUCUGUAAUCUACUGAAUAAUUUUUUUCUUCUGUCGUUCACUGAAGAUGUUAUCUCACAACACAGUUGCAGGUCUCUUGGAUUUCAAGACUCCCGUUACUUGACCCAAUGAAGUUACAACUGAAAAUUAGUGGGAUCAUAGCAUCUACAAUUUCAAUGUGAAAUGUGGAUUAAACAUCAUUUAGCAAAUAAGGAUCUAACAGCAUCAUGAGUUGAGAAAUAAACUCAUAAGAAUUUGUUCAGUACUGAUAAUACAUGAUAAAAGUGAAAUCAGAGGAGAACAGAAAGGCUAAAACACUUGAGAGGGAUUACUUAAACUUCAUAAAAUACUGAAAACGCGUGUUAAUCCUUUUGUAGAUACAUCCUUCUUGCUAAACGUGAUUUUUGGUCAUACUUUUUAGCAAAACAGAAUUUUCUAUUACAAAAAUUGCAAGUAAAAACGCUCUAAUUAUUAAAGCUAAGCCUCAGCUGUUUGACGCAAAGUUUCCUUUUACAGCAAAGCUUCAA
This 3015-nucleotide long non-coding RNA is filed under the name Bemisia tabaci. RNAcentral's name for it is "lncRNA ENSSWEETPG013543". Lineage: Eukaryota; Metazoa; Arthropoda; Insecta; Hemiptera; Aleyrodidae. The record is from RNAcentral.